This 253-nucleotide ribosomal RNA is filed under the name uncultured bacterium. Its description in RNAcentral is "partial 16S ribosomal RNA". It matches the Rfam family "Bacterial small subunit ribosomal RNA", at positions 524 to 776 of the family's 1533-position model. RNAcentral also lists the same sequence under 1 other name. The record is from RNAcentral.
UACAGAGGUCCCGAGCGUUGUUCGGAUUCACUGGGCGUAAAGGGUGCGUAGGUGGCCUAAAAAGUUUGAUGUGAAAGCUCAGGGCUUAACCCUGAAAUGGCAUUGAAUACUGUUGGGCUGGAGGUUUGGAGGGGGGACUGGAAUUCUUGGUGUAGCAGUGAAAUGCGUAGAUAUCAAGAGGAACACCAGUGGCGAAGGCGAGUCCCUGGACAACACCUGACACUGAGGCACGAAAGCUAGGGGAGCAAACAGG